This is a long non-coding RNA of Setaria italica (foxtail millet), 394 nucleotides long. RefSeq lists it as uncharacterized. The record is from RefSeq and is a predicted model, not a curated record. NCBI's taxonomy places the organism in Eukaryota, Viridiplantae, Streptophyta, Magnoliopsida, Poales, Poaceae. The transcript is spliced from 4 exons.
AUUGAACAAGUAUGUUGGGGAGAGCGAAUCAGAAAUUAGGAAAUUAUUCAUCCGUGCACGCUCUAACUCCCCGUGCAUACUAUUUUUUGAUGAGGUAGAUGCAUUGAUAACAAAGAGAGGAAAGAGGGGGAUGGGUUGUUGAACGUAUCGUAAACCAGAUCAACGUCAAGGUGUUUAGGUUAUCGGAGCUACAAACAGAAUUGAUGUGAUAGAUGAUGCUGUUUUGCGGCCCGGUAGAUUUGGGAAGAGACAUCAUGUACCUUUACCUGGUCCUGAUGAACGGGUUUCAAUAUUAAAAGCACACGCUCGAAGCAAACCCAUCUCCUCAGGUGUUGAUUUGGAUGCACUAGCACGUCGAGAGGAGUGCAGCAAUCUCACUGGUGCCGACCUAGCA